UACGGGGGGGGCAAGCGUUGUUCGGAAUUAUUGGGCGUAAAGAGCUCGUAGGCGGUCAGUCGCGUCUGCUGUGAAAACUCGGGGCUUAACCCCGGGCCUGCAGUGGGUACGGGCUGACUAGAGUGCGGUAGGGGAGACUGGAAUUCCUGGUGUAGCGGUGAAAUGCGCAGAUAUCAGGAGGAACACCGGUGGCGAAGGCGGGUCUCUGGGCCGUAACUGACGCUGAGGAGCGAAAGCCAGGGGAGCAAACGGG
Molecule: ribosomal RNA, 253 nt
Filed under: uncultured bacterium
Lineage: Bacteria
Description: partial 16S ribosomal RNA
Rfam family: Bacterial small subunit ribosomal RNA
Source: RNAcentral